CUCACGAUCGCCAUAGCAGCGCAGAGGCCUCAGGAAGAACUGGGCCUCAGAAGUGGAGCGGUUCGUAUCCCCUAUCACUACCUGAGUGACAGGCAGAUGGUCCACAAAGGUCAGCAGUCCCUUGUCAGUUCUCCUGUGGGGGCAGGAUGUCAUGGCUCAGCCCCAGCCACUCAGCUCCUCCCACUCCCGGAGUCCUAAAAACCCUGUCCCUUUGCCCCCUCACCACUGGGGCUGGUCAGCGUCACAGUUGCAGUACAAGGCAGGGUCCACACAGCUCCGGUCCAGACCACAGGCACAGCGCUGGAUCCCAGGCUGGGAGCCUCCCCAGUAGAAGUGCUGCUCCUCAUUUCGGCCAAUCCAAAAGCUGUAGGGGUAGCCUCCUGGGGAAGAGGUGCAGGCAGCUUCCAGGCCCUGUCCCUCCAUUAGCCUCUGGGCUCCUCUCGCCCUUCCAGCGAGUUCAGACCCCUCCUUGAAUCUUCCAACCCAAGGCCCCAGCUGGCUCUCUGGCUUCCUUCUCCCAGGCCCCCAUUGGUGUCUCCUCCAGUUCCGCCACCUCCCUGACCCCAGCCCUAACCUGCAGUGUUGAGCAGCCGGGAAUUGUAGCAGGAGAACUCGAUCCACUGUUCACAAUGCUGGGAAGCAUUGGCAAGGGCACUGACUUCCUCCCAGGAUGCAUUCCAGUACUGGAUAGCCCCCAGGAAUGGCCGCUCCAUGCUGGAACCUGUCACUCGAGUUGUCCACAGCCUGUCAUGCCGCACAACUGUCCACGCUCGGUUCUCUGGCAGACAAGAGGGGACAGAGCUUUGGCUGGAGUUGGGCAUUCUCUACCCAUCUCCCUGCCCACCUCCACCACCGCUGCUGCAACUCAGAGCCACUGAACGUGGCCAGCAGCUCCAUUCCACCUCUGCCCUGGGCACUCUGCAUUGUAGGCUGGAAAUAAGAUAGCUGGAAUGGGUAAGGAAGCUGGGAUAUACUUUUUUUUUUUUUUUUUUUGAGAUGAAGUCUCGCUCUGUUGCCCAGGCUGGAGUCCAAUGGCGCUAUCUCAGCUCACUGCAACCUCCACCUCCCAGGUUCAAGUGAUUCUCCUGCCUCAACCUCCCGAGUAGCUUCCCAAAGUGCUGGGAUUACAGGUGUGAGCCACCACGCCUGGCUUGGGAUUUACUUUUAAGGCUAGGUUACAAAUUCCUCAGUAUGCCCUUCCCCUCUGUCCUCCUUUACCCUCACUUGUUUAGUCUAACUGGCCCCCACCCACCACUCUAUCCUUCCUGGUUCUCCCCUCACCCCCUCACCACCCAACAGAGACACUUACCUCGGAUAUCACAGUACACUACAAAUGGCUUCAGGGGGCCACUGCCAUCAGGAUCAAUGGUGAAGUUUCCAGAAGUUUUCCCACUGAGCCGAUAAGCCUCACAGGAUUCCUUAUACAAAGCUGGCAGAUAAUAGGUUGAGACAAAGGCAGUUAGAGAGUUAGAGGGCUGGCCAGGUGCGGCGGCUCGGGCCUGUAAUCCCAGCACUUUGGGAGGCCGGGGUGGUGCAUCACCCGAGGUCAGGAGUUCGAGACCAGCCUGGCCAACAUGGUGAAACCCCAUCUCUAAUAAAAAUAUAAAAAUUAGCUAGGCGUGGUGGUGUGCACCUGUAGUCCCAGCUACUUAGGAGGCUGAGGCAGGAGAAUCGCUUGAACCCAGGAGGCAGAGGUUGCAGCGAGCCCAGAUGGCACCACUGCACUCUAGCCUGGGCAACAGAGCAAGACUCUGUCUCAAAAAAACCAAAAACAAAAAGCGAGAGGGCUGGAAGGGCCAUCCUCGCCAUCUCUAGCAGCCUGAUGAUCCCCAGCAACCUUCUAUUGACCUCCCUUGUCCCUGACUCCCCCCAUACCACAUCUGGCUUACGUGUGUGGCAGGUCUCUCCCUUGUAGCCCGUCAGUUCGCAGUAGCAAAUGAAGUCAUCCCAAGACUGGUAGCAGCGUCCAUCAUGCUCACACAUGUUAGGGCUGCACCUAGGGAAGGGGUCAGGACCAAGGGAAGGAGCCUUACUGGGAGCUGGAGAGUGGGGUCUGAUCCCUGCAAGCUUCACUCCCAGCUCCUUGAAGCCCCAGAACCCGGUGAGACACACCCCGCCUAGCCAGCCGGGUAUAAGCGCAGAUGCAGGGGCACUAGGCAGUCCUCAGGGCUCAAGUACUACUAUUCCCCCUUCCUGAAAACAUCAAAACAUGCCUUAUUCUACCCCUAUCAUCCCCCUAGCACAAAAAACCCCUCUAGGACCAAAAGCAAAUGUGUCAUUUCCAUCCUGAGCAUGUAUCACCUUAAGGGAAGAAAUAGGAGGUAAGAGAUCAAAGAAGAAUCAUCCCCAAGCAGGGGACUAAGGAGCAGAGACAAGGAGAAGGGAGAUUAUUGAAAGAGGCCAUUCCUACUGGGAGACCAGGGAAGAGGGCUUUGGAGGGGUCAUCUCUUGUUAGGGGCUUCUGGGUACCUAUCAGUGAUGCCACAUGUAUCAAAGAGGACCUCAGCAUAGAAUCCAAGCCGCCGGCCCUCCACCAGAGUCAGGUUGACCAGUUGACCAUCCACCUUGAGCAGCUCCAUGCAGCCAUGGAAUGCCGUCUGGUUGGAGUGGCAGUCCCAUCGACUGGCUGGCUUGGGACAACCUGGAGCAACCACCCCUGUGAGAUCCUCCCCAGGGGAGACCCCAAAGACCCUCCCCCAGGGACAUGCUGAGGGGGAGCCAGACAUAAAGGAAGAAAGGGGACUACAACCAAAGUGUAGAUGGCAAUGACCUUCCACUCCCUGAGGCCCCAGAGGGGAAGAGGGCUUGAUCCCUCCAAAAUUCUCCAUGUGGCCCCAUCUGGGUGGACUUAGA
Molecule: long non-coding RNA, 2853 nt
Filed under: Homo sapiens (human)
Lineage: Eukaryota; Metazoa; Chordata; Mammalia; Primates; Hominidae
Description: non-protein coding lnc-CCR10-2:1
Source: RNAcentral